AUAUCAAUAAGCGGAGGAAAAGAAACCAACAGGGAUUGCCCCAGUAACGGCGAGUGAAGCGGCAACAGCUCAAAUUUGAAAUCUGGCCCCCAGGGCCCGAGUUGUAAUUUGCAGAGGAUGCUUUUGGCGACGCGCCUUCCGAGUUCCCUGGAACGGGACGCCAUAGAGGGUGAGAGCCCCGUCUGGUUGGACGCCGAGCCUCUGUAAAGCUCCUUCGACGAGUCGAGUAGUUUGGGAAUGCUGCUCUAAAUGGGAGGUAUAUGUCUUCUAAAGCUAAAUACCGGCCAGAGACCGAUAGCGCACAAGUAGAGUGAUCGAAAGAUGAAAAGCACUUUGAAAAGAGGGUUAAAUAGUACGUGAAAUUGUUGAAAGGGAAGCGCUCACGACCAGACUUGAGCCCGGUGAAUCAUCCAGCGUUCUCGCUGGUGCACUUCGCCGGGCCCAGGCCAGCAUCGGUUCGCCGCGGGGGAGAAAGGCGUCGGGAACGUGGCUCCCUCGGGAGUGUUAUAGCCCGUCGCACAAUACCCUGGGGCGGACCGAGGUUCGCGCAUCUGCAAGGAUGCUGGCGUAAUGGUCGUCAGCGACCCGUCUUGAAACACGGACCAAGGAGUCGUCUUCGUAUGCGAGUGUUCGGGUGUAAAACCCCUACGCGUAAUGAAAGUGAACGCAGGUGAGAGCUUCGGCGCAUCAUCGACCGAUCCUGAUGUUCUCGGAUGGAUUUGAGUAAGAGCAUACGGGGCCGGACCCGAAAGAAGGUGAACUAUGCCUGUGUAGGGUGAAGCCAGAGGAAACUCUGGUGGAGGCUCGCAGCGGUUCUGACGUGCAAAUCGAUCGUCAAACAUGGGCAUGGGGGCGAAAGACUAAUCGAACCUUCUAGUAGCUGGUUUCCGCC
This 892-nucleotide ribosomal RNA is filed under the name Hirsutella sp. NBRC 103841. RNAcentral's name for it is "LSU rRNA". It matches the Rfam family "Eukaryotic large subunit ribosomal RNA", at positions 40 to 962 of the family's 3401-position model. Lineage: Eukaryota; Fungi; Ascomycota; Sordariomycetes; Hypocreales; Ophiocordycipitaceae. RNAcentral also lists the same sequence under 2 other names. The record is from RNAcentral.